UAAAGGGUGCGUAGGCGGCCUGUUAAGUCAGGGGUGAAAGACGGUAGCUCAACUAUCGCAGUGCCCUUGAUACUGAUGGGCUUGAAUUGACUAGAGGUAGGCGGAAUGUGACAAGUAGCGGUGAAAUGCAUAGAUAUGUCACAGAACACCGAUUGCGAAGGCAGCUUACUAUGGUCUUAUUGACGCUGAGGCACGAAAGCGUGGGGAUCAAACAGGAUUAGAUCCCCAGU
Molecule: ribosomal RNA, 230 nt
Filed under: uncultured bacterium
Lineage: Bacteria
Description: partial 16S ribosomal RNA
Rfam family: Bacterial small subunit ribosomal RNA
Source: RNAcentral